UACGGGGGGGGCAAGCGUUGUUCGGAAUUACUGGGCGUAAAGGGCGCGUAGGCGGCUUGGUCAGUCCCGUGUGAAAUCCCUCGGCUCAACUGAGGAACUGCACGGGAAACUGCCUGGCUUGAGUUCGGGAGAGGGAAGCGGAAUUCCGGGUGUAGCGGUGAAAUGCGUAGAUAUCCGGAGGAACACCGGUGGCGAAGGCGGCUUCCUGGACCGACACUGACGCUGAGGUGCGAAAGCUAGGGGAGCAAACGGG
Molecule: ribosomal RNA, 253 nt
Filed under: uncultured bacterium
Lineage: Bacteria
Description: partial 16S ribosomal RNA
Rfam family: Bacterial small subunit ribosomal RNA
Source: RNAcentral